Molecule: microRNA precursor, 321 nt
Filed under: Gossypium raimondii (Peruvian cotton)
Lineage: Eukaryota; Viridiplantae; Streptophyta; Magnoliopsida; Malvales; Malvaceae
Description: miR8709c stem-loop (gra-MIR8709c)
Source: miRBase by way of RNAcentral
AAUAUCAAUUAUACAUGAACUUCGAUUUAAUAUGCAAUUUUGUACAUGAACUUUGAUUUUGGACAAUUUUAUAAAUGGCAUUUUGAUUUGAUCUAAUUCUCAAAAAUUAUUAACAUAGUUAUUGAUAUAGAAUCAUUUUAUUUUUAUAUAUUGCAUACACAAAUAAUUAUAUUUAUCCAAUAUAAAAAUAAUUUGAUUAUUUAUUUCUUUAGAUGUACAUGAUUUAAUCAAAAUUAAAGUUUCAUGUAUAUAAUUGCAUUAAAUCAAAGUUCAUGGAUCAAAAUGCACAUUAAAUCAAAAUUCAUGUAUAAUUUUGAGAUU